RNAcentral lists this long non-coding RNA (437 nucleotides) under Pongo abelii (Sumatran orangutan). RNAcentral describes it as "lincRNA". The record is from RNAcentral. Lineage: Eukaryota; Metazoa; Chordata; Mammalia; Primates; Hominidae.
GGUGGGGCCUGUGUAUCUCGCUCCCGCCAGAUCUUGGGAUGAGUCGCUGCUGUUCUGCGUUCUCCACCUCGGGAGUCCCCGGUGACUGUCACAGCCUCUUGCCCUGUGAUCUGCCGGUUCUGGGAGACGCACAGCUAAGAUGCCAGGACAUCCUGGAAGCUGGGAAAAGAUGGAGUUUCACUCUUGUUGCCCAGGCUGGAGUGCAGUAUCCCAAUCUUGGCUCACUGCAACCUCCGCCUCCCAGGUUCUGCCAACAAAGGAGAUUGUGACACAUUGCUGGGCCUAACACUACGGUGAUGUUACUUACUUGCUUUGGCUGUGCCCUUGGAAGGCAUUGAGACAUACUGCUGUGCCCAGCACCAAGAUGUAACGUGACUCUUCUGCUUCAGGCCUGCCAAAAGAAAAGAUUGUGACAGAUCACUGGACCCAGCACCUAG